Molecule: ribosomal RNA, 443 nt
Filed under: Coccomyxa cf. pringsheimii TF-2013
Lineage: Eukaryota; Viridiplantae; Chlorophyta; Trebouxiophyceae; Coccomyxaceae
Description: SSU rRNA
Rfam family: Eukaryotic small subunit ribosomal RNA
Source: RNAcentral
CGAUUCCGGAGAGGGAGCCUGAGAAACGGCUACCACAUCCAAGGAAGGCAGCAGGCGCGCAAAUUACCCAAUCUUGACACAAGGAGGUAGUGACAAUAAAUAACAAUACCGGGGUUUUUCAACUCUGGUAAUUGGAAUGAGUACAAUCUAAACCCCUUAACGAGGAUCAAUUGGAGGGCAAGUCUGGUGCCAGCAGCCGCGGUAAUUCCAGCUCCAAUAGCGUAUAUUUAAGUUGUUGCAGUUAAAAAGCUCGUAGUUGGAUUUCGGGCGGGCCCGGCCGGUCCGCCAUUCGGUGUGCACUGACCGGGCCCGUCUUGUUGCCGGGGACGAGCUCCUGGGCUUAACUGUCCGGGACUCGGAGUCGGCGAGGUUACUUUGAGUAAAUUAGAGUGUUCAAAGCAGGCCUACGCUCUGAAUACAUUAGCAUGGAAUAACACGAUAGG